Molecule: long non-coding RNA, 482 nt
Organism: Actinia tenebrosa (Australian red waratah sea anemone)
Lineage: Eukaryota; Metazoa; Cnidaria; Anthozoa; Actiniaria; Actiniidae
Source: RefSeq, a predicted model, not a curated record
CCAUUUCCACUGAUCUGAUCCGUGCCAACAAAAACAACGACAGUCUAUAAGGAAAGGCUUAGUUUUUUAGUCAUCAUGAAGAGAAAUAGUUUGGUUUUGUGCACUCUGCUCGUUCUGGCUGUCUUCUGUAGUAUUCAGCCAUCUAGUGCUUGGACUAGUGGUGGAGGUGCAAACUUUGGUAAAAGGGAGAUGAUCAAGGUCGUUAGAGCAGCAGAAAGUAUGUGUGCUGUAGCAAGAGAACAUUGCAAAAGAGAAGAAGACAGCAGAUCAACAAGACAGAAUAACUGAGCUCACAACUUAACGACAACAACAAAAAACCGGAUAUCGUUAAUGGAUUGUUAAUAGUAAUGAAUGAUUUAAAGAUAAUAUCUUUAUGAACUAUGUAAGCUUUUAGCCUGAUAUUGCUUGACUUCAGUGAGAUCUAUGACAUCAAUACCGAGUGACUAUAAUGACUAAAAGCUAUUAAAAGGAUGUUCGUAUUA